AACCGGUUCCAUGCUGUAUGCUAUGAAAGUUAAUAUUUACAUACAUAUGUGUAUAAAUAAGCGAAGCUGUAGUUAUUUACUUAUAUUAUUAUCAUAUGUAAAGUUUAAGUUGAUAAAGUUAAAGCUAAUUCAAGAUUGCUCGCGCAUUUUUUUAUUUAAAUAAUGUUGACGUACACGUUCGCUUGGAUUGUUUGUGUCACAAUAGUAAAUUGUUCCCCAUUAUUAAAUAAAAAUAUGAAUGGGAGCUAUAAGCCAAAUACUUUGUUGGAUGAAAACACCCAUAAUCUAUUUCUGAUGCGUUUUAUUUACGGGAUUGCUGUUAAUAUGGGAAUAGAAGAUCAACUUGAAGAUCCAUUCAAUGGAUCAUUUUUACCUCCCAAUGCUGAUGAUGGUUUUGGAAUAAGUGAAUAUAGUGAUGACAACGGUGGUGAAAUUUUUUUAGGAAAUUUGUUUGAUUACGAUGUUUAGCUAGGAAACAAUUUUCUAAUUAAAUAUGAAAUAGGGUUUUAACUAAGAUGCACACAUAAAAUUUAAGAUUUAAAUAUAAGUAAUUUAAUUAAUAAAAGUACUCUAUAAAAAGACACAUAUGUAAAAUAUCGAAAUCUGAAUUUUUAAGAAUUCCAUGUAAUAAAAACAGAUUGCUAUAAAUUAUUUAAUUAUAAUAUUUGGUGCUACAAAUGAU
This is a long non-coding RNA of Drosophila ananassae, 682 nucleotides long. RefSeq lists it as uncharacterized. The transcript has 2 exons. The record is from RefSeq and is a predicted model, not a curated record. Lineage: Eukaryota; Metazoa; Arthropoda; Insecta; Diptera; Drosophilidae.